Molecule: ribosomal RNA, 468 nt
Filed under: uncultured bacterium
Lineage: Bacteria
Description: partial 16S ribosomal RNA
Rfam family: Bacterial small subunit ribosomal RNA
Source: RNAcentral
GACGAACGCUGGCGGCGUGCUUAACACAUGCAAGUCGAACGGAAAGGCCCUGCUUUUGUGGGGUGCUCGAGUGGCGAACGGGUGAGUAACACGUGAGUAACCUGCCCUUGACUUUGGGAUAACUUCAGGAAACUGGGGCUAAUACCGGAUAGGAGCUCCUGCUGCAUGGUGGGGGUUGGAAAGUUUCGGCGGUUGGGGAUGGACUCGCGGCUUAUCAGCUUGUUGGUGGGGUAGUGGCUUACCAAGGCUUUGACGGGUAGCCGGCCUGAGAGGGUGACCGGCCACAUUGGGACUGAGAUACGGCCCAGACUGCUACGGGAGGCAGCAGUGGGGAAUAUGGCACAAUGGGCGGAAGCCUGAUGCAGCAGCGCCGCGUGCGGGAUGACGGCCUUCGGGUUGUAAACCGCUUUCGCCUGUGACGAAGCGUGAGUGACGGUAAUGGGUAAAGAAGCACCGGCUAACUACGUG